Molecule: long non-coding RNA, 276 nt
Organism: Prionailurus viverrinus (fishing cat)
Lineage: Eukaryota; Metazoa; Chordata; Mammalia; Carnivora; Felidae
Exons: 3
Source: RefSeq, a predicted model, not a curated record
UGAAAUGUUAUCCCAAGAUUUAGGCGGUUAAGAGAGAAUGUGCCUUCUCCCUCAUCUCUUUGCUCAUCCAUACCACUGAAUGCAGAGAAAAAUGAGGCCUUAGGAGAUUUUGGAUUACAGGAGGUUAGAAAGCUGAUAUGCAAAAUCUCUAAAUUGCACUGGCAACCCUCCAAGGAAAUCUACUACAGACAACCAAAAGCUGGAUGAGAAGAAACAGAAAGAAAUUUUUCAAAUAGUAUGACUGCAAGUGUUCUAGCCUGGAUGACAUCUACUCCC